AGAGUUUGAUCAUGGCUCAGAUUGAACGCUGGCGGCAGGCCUAACACAUGCAAGUCGAGCGGUAGCACAGAGAGCUUGCUCUCGGGUGACGAGCGGCGGACGGGUGAGUAAUGUCUGGGAAACUGCCUGAUGGAGGGGGAUAACUACUGGAAACGGUAGCUAAUACCGCAUAACGUCGCAAGACCAAAGUGGGGGACCUUCGGGCCUCAUGCCAUCAGAUGUGCCCAGAUGGGAUUAGCUAGUAGGUGGGGUAACGGCUCACCUAGGCGACGAUCCCUAGCUGGUCUGAGAGGAUGACCAGCCACACUGGAACUGAGACACGGUCCAGACUCCUACGGGAGGCAGCAGUGGGGAAUAUUGCACAAUGGGCGCAAGCCUGAUGCAGCCAUGCCGCGUGUGUGAAGAAGGCCUUCGGGUUGUAAAGCACUUUCAGCGGGGAGGAAGGCGNNNNNNNNNNNNNNNNNNNNNNNNUCGAUUGACGUUACCCGCAGAAGAAGCACCGGCUAACUCCGUGCCAGCAGCCGCGGUAAUACGGAGGGUGCAAGCGUUAAUCGGAAUUACUGGGCGUAAAGCGCACGCAGGCGGUCUGUCAAGUCGGAUGUGAAAUCCCCGGGCUCAACCUGGGAACUGCAUUCGAAACUGGCAGGCUAGAGUCUUGUAGAGGGGGGUAGAAUUCCAGGUGUAGCGGUGAAAUGCGUAGAGAUCUGGAGGAAUACCGGUGGCGAAGGCGGCCCCCUGGACAAAGACUGACGCUCAGGUGCGAAAGCGUGGGGAGCAAACAGGAUUAGAUACCCUGGUAGUCCACGCCGUAAACGAUGUCGAUUUGGAGGUUGUGCCCUUGAGGCGUGGCUUCCGGAGCUAACGCGUUAAAUCGACCGCCUGGGGAGUACGGCCGCAAGGUUAAAACUCAAAUGAAUUGACGGGGGCCCGCACAAGCGGUGGAGCAUGUGGUUUAAUUCGAUGCAACGCGAAGAACCUUACCUGGUCUUGACAUCCACAGAACUUAGCAGAGAUGCUUUGGUGCCUUCGGGAACUGUGAGACAGGUGCUGCAUGGCUGUCGUCAGCUCGUGUUGUGAAAUGUUGGGUUAAGUCCCGCAACGAGCGCAACCCUUAUCCUUUGUUGCCAGCGGUUAGGCCGGGAACUCAAAGGAGACUGCCAGUGAUAAACUGGAGGAAGGUGGGGAUGACGUCAAGUCAUCAUGGCCCUUACGACCAGGGCUACACACGUGCUACAAUGGCAUAUACAAAGAGAAGCGACCUCGCGAGAGCAAGCGGACCUCAUAAAGUAUGUCGUAGUCCGGAUUGGAGUCUGCAACUCGACUCCAUGAAGUCGGAAUCGCUAGUAAUCGUAGAUCAGAAUGCUACGGUGAAUACGUUCCCGGGCCUUGUACACACCGCCCGUCACACCAUGGGAGUGGGUUGCAAAAGAAGUAGGUAGCUUAACCUUCGGGAGGGCGCUUACCACUUUGUGAUUCAUGACUGGGGUGAAGUCGUAACAAGGUAACCGUAGGGGAACCUGCGGUUGGAUCACCU
Molecule: ribosomal RNA, 1534 nt
Filed under: Klebsiella quasipneumoniae
Lineage: Bacteria; Pseudomonadati; Pseudomonadota; Gammaproteobacteria; Enterobacterales; Enterobacteriaceae
Description: bacterial SSU rRNA
Rfam family: Bacterial small subunit ribosomal RNA
Source: RNAcentral